AUGGCGACGGAGACGGAGCCCGCCGCGGCGCCGCGCCUGCUCCUGGGCCCGCCCCUGAUCCGCGCCGCGCGCCCGUCCCCUGACUCCGCCGCCGCCACCUCCGACGCUUCGCACCCGUUCCUCGACCUCCUCGACGCGGCCUUCAACGCGCCGUCGCCGGCGGCGAUCAAGGCGGCGCUCAAGCCGCGGAGGGCGCUCACGGAGAACUGCUCCGCCACGUACGCCAACUCGGGCAACCCCUGCCUCGACUUCUUCUUCCAGGUGGUCCCCGACACGCCUGCCGACCGCGUGCGCCAGCUCCUCGCCGCCGCCUGGGCGCAGGACGCGCCCACGGCGCUCCGCCUCGCCUGCAACCUCCGCGGCGUGCGCGGUACCGGCAAGUCGGACAGGGAGGGCUUCUACGCCGCCGCGCUCUGGAUGCACGAGCACCACCCGCGCACGCUCGCCUGCAACGUCGCCGCGCUCGCCGAGUUCGGCUACCUCAAGGACUUCCCCGAGCUGCUGUUCCGCCUCCUCCGCGGCCCCGACGUGCGCGCGGUCGCCAAGGCCGGCGCCGAGGCCGACAAGGCGCGCAGGAAGGCCAAGGGCCUCGCCACGCAGCGGGAGGGCUUGCGGGCUAGGCUCGCCGGCCGCAAGCGCGCCCGCGAGCUCGCCCUCGUGCCGGCCAAGGCCACCUUCGGCGACUUCCUCUCUGCCGCGCUCUCCAAGGCCGGCAAGGGCAGCAAGCCCGUGGAGUCUGUCCCGGUCCAGGAGCCCCCGGAGGUGCAGAAGCCGGAAGCGAUGGAGGUGGACCAGAAGAAGACGGCCGCGGGUAAGCCGCGGCGGAUGUCGAAGAAGGUGCGCACGGUUGCCAAGCUGGCCAUGCAGUCGUUGGAGACGUACUACGGCGACCGUGCCUACCGCUUCCUGUUCGACGCCGUCGCCGACUUCUUCGCCGCGCUCCUCACCUCGGACCUCCAGCAGCUGGCCUCCGGCGGCAAAAAGAGGAAGAUCGGGCUCGCCGCCAAGUGGUGUCCCACUCCAGGCUCGUCCUUCGACCGCACCACGCUUCUCUGCGAGGCCAUCGCCCGCCGCCUCUUCCCGCGCGACUCGGACCCCGAGCUCACCCAGCUCUCGGACGAGCACUACGCGUACCACGCCCUACACCGCCUCCGCCGCAAGGUGCUCGUGCCGCUGCGCAAGGUGCUGGAGCUCCCGGAGGUGUACAUGAGCGCGCAGCGGUGGUCGGAGCUGCCCUACACCCGUGUCGCCUCGGUGGCCAUGCGGCGCUACAAGUCCCUCUUCAAGAAGCACGAUGAGGAGCGCUUCGACAAGUACCUGGAGGACGUGGAGGCUGGCAAGGCCAAGAUCGCGGCGGGCGCGCUCCUGCCGCACGAGAUCGCGGCGGCCGCGUACCGCGGCCAGGAUGACAAUGUAUCGGAGCUGCAGUGGCGACGCAUGGUGGACGACCUCCGUUCCAAGGGCUCGCUGCGCAACUGCAUCUCGGUCUGCGACGUGUCCUUGAGCAUGAGCGGCACCCCGAUGGAGGUGUGCAUCGCGCUGGGCGUGCUCACCUCGGAGCUCAGCGAGGAGCCGUGGGCCGGCAAGGUGAUCACCUUCAGCGAGAACCCGGAGAUUCACCUGAUCAAGGGCAAGACCCUCCGCCAGAAGAUGGACUUCGUGCGACGCAUGCACUGGGGCGGGAGCACCAACUUCCAGGGGGUGUUCGACCAGAUCCUCCGCACGGCGGUGGAGGCGAGUCUGGCGCCGGAGAAGAUGAUCAGGACCGUGUUCGUGUACAGCGACAUGGAGUUCAACAUGGCGUCGGGGAGCGCCUACGCCGCCUACUACAGCCGGCGGGAGUCUGUUCCGUGGGAGACUGACUACGAGGUGAUCUGCAAAAAGUUCAGGGACGCUGGCUACGGCGACGUGGUGCCCCAGAUCAUCUUCUGGAACCUGCGCGACUCAAAGUCGACGCCGGUGACGUCGACCCAGCCGGGGGUGGCCAUGGUGAGCGGCUUCUCCAAGAACUUCCUCAAGAUCUUUCUGAAGAACGACGGCGUGGUGAACCCUGAGGCCAUCAUGAUGGAGGCCAUCGCCGGCGAAGAGUACCAGAAGCUCGUCGUGUACGACUAG
Molecule: ribosomal RNA, 2115 nt
Filed under: Triticum aestivum (bread wheat)
Lineage: Eukaryota; Viridiplantae; Streptophyta; Magnoliopsida; Poales; Poaceae
Description: partial small subunit ribosomal RNA
Source: RNAcentral